This is a long non-coding RNA of Diospyros lotus (date-plum), 5147 nucleotides long. RefSeq lists it as uncharacterized. The transcript is spliced from 2 exons. NCBI's taxonomy places the organism in Eukaryota, Viridiplantae, Streptophyta, Magnoliopsida, Ericales, Ebenaceae. The record is from RefSeq and is a predicted model, not a curated record.
UCACCAGUGCCCCUCAACUUCUUCCAUUUGUUUAUCAUUUUGAUAUUUUAAUAUCUGCACAUAAAAUUUGCAACUUCGUAUAACUGCUUCCAUAAUAUAGGAUUGUUGAAGUUUUGCUAGAUGCUCUUUUUAAUUUCUCAUCAACAUAAGGUUUUAGGGAUAGUUUUUGUUUCCAGUGUUAUAUAAUUGCAACAUAAACCAAGAUUAGUGGUUCAUCUAUUGUUGGCAUAAUCUGUUGUUGAUUCUGUUCAAGUUUGCUGACUACUUCUUUGAUUUGCAAUGUGGAGCAUUCAGAGUAGUCCAAUGUUCUAAUUGCAUUAAAAAUUGGGAACCUUAUAUAUUACAUGGUUGUUUAUUUAGAUUAGUGCUUUUUGGACAUGUGAUGAUUAUGUUGAUGGACUUGCUCUUUUCAAAAAAAAAAUUGUUGAUGGACUUGCAAUUGGGGUUUCAUUGUUAAUGCCAUGGGAUUUGAUUUGUGAUGGGAAAUAUGAUUUUGAUUUAUGAUUCAUAUUUUCAAUCUUUUGUUUUAUUAAGAUUUGAUUAGGAUUAAUAUUUAGUAAGAUUUUUUACUUUUGGCAAGAUUAAUAUUUUAUAAGAUUUGUUACUUUUGGUAAGAUUUGAUUAGGUUUUAUUUAGAAAUAUUUCAUUUUGUUUUAUGAUUAACUGAAAGAUUGCUUUAUUAUUUUGAAUAAUGUUGAGUUUCUCUCUUCUUAUUCUUCUUCUUUCUGCAUUUUUCCCUUCCUCUCCCCCAUCAACUUUGGCAUUAGAUCUUUUUUUUUUUUUGGUUCCACAUAUAAAAGAAAAAUUGGAUUAUGAGUUUUCAUUAGCUUCAACAUUCAUCAACUUUUUGGAGCAUUGAAAAUUUCUGAACAGAACUCAAGUUGUUUGGAAGUCUUUGCAGCCCUAGAAGAUCACUGAAACCCAUUGCUGCAACAAUUAGCAGAAAUCAAUCAAACCAGAGAGCCAUCCUUGCAAAGGCAGUCGCUGAACUGUUGUGAAAUCACUGGAGCCACCCGCAUAGCUUUUAGAGGAGCUCUAAUUGAAGACCUCAAAGCCUUCAACAAAGUUGGAAAGCUAGCCUUGGUGAGCCUUGCUUCAGAUUCUCACCAACCUCAUCAGCCAUCUCCUUAGUUCCUUGCUAGGGCUACUGAUAACAUUGGCACAUGUCGAUACCUCUGUUGGAUUUAGAAACCUUACUAUGAUUCACUUCUAUAAGAACAGUCACUGGGCUUCUCCUCUUAUCAAAUUAGCCCUUCAACCUUUUUACUCGAUUGUUUUCUUUCUGUUUGCUCAAUUUCCCACUUGUAACUAGCAACCCAAUUUCAAUCGACCACCAGCUUGUAGGGAUGGAAAUGGGCAUGGUGGGGCUAGGGAAGGGUAGCCUUCCCCAUCCCCCCGCCUUGACAUCCUAGACCCCACUCCAUUCCUGCCUCAUACUUCAAUGGGGGCAAGAAAACUGAACACCAACACUGCCCCCAAUGGGGUAGGGUUGAGGAUACCUGUUCCUCGAAGUAAAUGGAAAUCACUAAUAGUAAUGCAAUUCUAAUACAACUAUCUAAGAAAUGCAAGUCUGAUACAACUGCAAAUUUGACAACUGAAAAAGCUAGUUGCAUAUUAUAAACAACAGUCAACACCACAAAUCGCAGAUUGUGAUAAACAACCAACUUUAAACAGUGUUAUACCUUCCAAUCAACGCAAAAAAGAGAGAAGUGGGUCAGUUGGUGGGAGAGGAUGGGGGGAAGGAGGGUGUGGAGGUCGGCCAUUGCUUUGUUGGCGUCGACAUAAUCUGCUGAGAGAGGGAAAGAAAGAGACAGGGAGAUGGAGGUGGGUUGGCCAGGGAUGGCGGUGCAUAGUGAUAUUUGAGAGAGACCAAAAAGAGAGAUUUCUAUGCUUUUGGGAUGGGAGGGAUGCAAUACAGCUAUGCUGAUCCAGUGAACAAUAGUGAGAUUCGAGGGAUGUGGCCUGCGAGUGACACAACUGUGAUUUGAAAGAGAGAUGAGAGGAGAGUGGACUGUUGUGGUGCCCUAACUCUAAUUACCUAAACAUUAUAUAUUAUAUAAACUGAAAAAUACAGUAAUUUAAAAUUUAUAUAUUAUAUAUAGCGGCGCAGAGCAGGGACAAACUGGGGCAAGCAGGGACUAUAAAUCCCAUCCCCACCCUUCCCCCCCAAAAACAUUUGAGGAUUUCUCAAUCAUUGCCUCCUCCUGGUCGAAGGGCAUUGACCCCACCCCAAUUGGGGCAGGGCCCUAUAUGGAUGGGUCAUUUUGCCAUCCUUAACAGCCUUAGAUCCAAUUUCAUGCUGAGACCCAUCACCACAGUCCAAGCCUAGAAUUCUACAGUCCUUCCACUCUUUAUUCAUUUUUGAGCCAAAUUUGUUUAAUCCAAGCCCCUAAUUAAACAAAACCUAUGUUUCUACAAACGCAAACCUCAACUACAACCCAAAUCAGAAAACAUGUUUCUUUCCAUAUCUUUGGGAUAAUUUUCUAUUGUCUAAAUUAAUGUUAAUUUAUAUUGUGUGUUUAGUUUUUCAUGGACUUAUUUGCCCCCUUAGCCAUGUAAGCCCAACUUGUCAAACUUUAUUCCCCAUCAAAGCUCAUAUACUAUAAAUUAUCCAAGAGAUGAGACGAGAAAUACAUGCCCAGAAUUGAGCUAUACAAGCCCAGAUUGCAGCCUUGGUCACUGGAGUUGAAGCACUUGAGAUGAACCAUCACUACAAUAGCAAGUAUAGGUUACCUCAUACGGGCUAUAAUAGGUAUUGGGAUAACUAUUUACCAUACCUCUUCUAUGAAUCACAAGUUAAUGCUAGGUCAUCUUUUGCCUGGUAUGCCACGUUCAAUUGUUUGGUCACAACCAAAGUGUUCUAACUGUGGAUCUACUACUCACUUGAUUAAAGAUUGUGCGUUCAUGCCUUUGGAUAUAUGGAUCAAAGGAAGAGUAGGUAAAGGAAAAACUCUAGAAGUAAUCAUCAUCAUCAAUUGCUCCUUAUCCUAAUGAAGUUAGGGUCUGCAACAUGGCAUUUAUAAUGUCAAUUGAUCUCUAAAAGUCGCAUUGACAAUACAAAUCCAUGCAACAUAACAAUGUGGCAAAAUUUUAAGUAGGAUGAAACAAUUAUAGAUGUUGAGGAAGUUCUCAAGGAUGAAACGACAAUAGCAUUUGAGGAAGCCCCCAAGGAUGAUCGAACAUAAGCCUAGUUCUGGAGUUUUCCAUAAGGAAUUCCCAAAACCUCUUUGCCCUUCGCCAGCUCCUUAGCUUUCCAUUGAUAUUGUUUCACAAGUAAUCCUUCCUAGUCCGUCUCAUCAUAAAAGGAAACAUAUUGAACCUUUGUAGUUAGACAAAGCAAUCAACAAACUCAACAAAUAGCCUUCAGUUCCCUUCAAUUAACCUCUGGGUGGCCUAUUCUGUUCCUCCCAACAAACUCAAGCCCCAGUACAACUACCUUUCUGCUAUGCACACAAAUAUAAACUUCACAUCUUUUUAUUUUAUUUUUUAUAUCAGCAGAAUAUUUUUGGCAGGGAUGGACAGAUUCAUAGUUUUCUUAUUCAUUGGGUGAAUCCUCCAGGUUGAGCAAUGCAGAUUUGUGAAACUCUAGGAUGAGUUUUUUCCAACUAGGGGAGAAUGAUAGAAAAUGUGAUCUUGAAUUCUGAUUUGUUUUGAUUUGGAAAUCAGAUUUUCAGCAUUUUGUUUUAGUAAGUUCUGAUUAGGAUUAAUAUUUAGUAAGAUUUGUUAUUUUUAGCAAAGAUUUGAUUAGGAUUGAUAUUCAGUAAGAUUUGUUAUUUUUAGCAACAUUUGUUAGGUUUUUUAUGAUUUGUCUUUUGCCUAUAAAUUGGCCUUAUGGAUGUAAUCAGAAGAAGCUAAAUGGCUCUUUAGCUUGAAUUUCUCCUGAUUUUUCUCACUCGGCUUUUCUUUUUCUUCCUUUUCUUUCAUAAGCUUCUUUCUUCUAAAAUGUCUACUUCUCCUCCUCUUCUUCUUAUUCUUCUUCCUGCUUCUCUGCUGUCUCUCUACUUUCUGCAAUUUUCCCUUGCUGUGCUGCAUCAACUUUGCUACCAGAGCAUUCUUUUUUUGCUGUUCCACAUCAAUAUGGCUCCAUAAUGCAUAUAUUGACACCUACUUCUUAUAAAAGCAUUCACUCUCUGGAAGGGAGAACAAAGUUAAAAAAAAAAAAAAAAAAAGAAGUGUAAAAAGAGUCCUGUUUUUUCAUUGAUAAUGAUGGUAAUCUAGCUGGCUUUGUGGUACUGAACUAGUUAUUGGUGCAUAAGUUGCCUGUUUGUAGUUGGCUUUUCUGUUCCUGAACAUUCAAUGUUAUUUAAUCAUGUAAAUAUUGGUCAGUGUGCUGACUUCUGUUGCUGAUGGUAAUAACUUUGUUGCAUUUAGUAGAGUUGGGAGCAAUAAUUUCAUUGGAUGAAACAAUUAAGAGAAGUAACAGAAAUCCAAAAUUACAAUGAUAAUUGCAUUGUUCAUAAUAAUAGGAUAUCCAAUUGCAACCUUUGUAUAUGCAAUAGAUCCCUUCCUUGCACCAAUCAAUAUUCCUACUAAUUAGUUAUCAAAAUUAAGGAUUGUAAAGCUGUUAUGAAUGAUGUAUGAAUGAUGACAAGUCUAAUAUUUUUGAACACAAUGAAAAACACUUAGGAUCCAUCAUCCUGUCUUCUGUUUACUCCAUGUUGAGACUCCCUGUUCCUCGCACGGCAUGGGAUUUAGAACCAGCAUACUGAUAAGCACCUUUUUCAGAAAGUCCACUUUAAGCAAAAGGGAGUAUCUGUUAGGAAUAUCUAGAUAGGUAGUUUCCUCUGCAAUAGAAAUGUACUUGUAGAUCCACUGGACCAUUCUUUCAACUUGAUCUUGGUGCCUUUUAUCUUUCUUAACAAAUUUUUUUCAAGUUCCUUCUUUCUAAUUAUUAUCAUGUUGAUUAUAUGUCUGUCUCUGAGAAACUAAUUGGAGUGGUUGCAUAACCCUUUAAGUUAAAAUUUUAUGCCCAUACUUUCUUGCCAAUUUACAGACUGCUGACAUUUCUUUUGUUGGCUUUUGACAUUUUCUUGCCUUCAUGGCAACUUGUUGCAUUAUGUUUGCUUACAUUGAGACGCCGGCAGAUUAUGUUUCAAUGUUUUCUUACAUUGACUUGUGCAAAGCGGACACUUUUUUUUUUUUUUUUU